CCUACGGGAGGCAGCAGUGAGGAAUAUUGGUCAAUGGACGAGAGUCUGAACCAGCCAAGUAGCGUGAAGGAUGACUGCCCUAUGGGUUGUAAACUUCUUUUAUAUGGGAAUAAAAUGUUCCACGUGUGGGAUUUUGUAUGUACCAUAUGAAUAAGGAUCGGCUAACUCCGUGCCAGCAGCCGCGGUAAUACGGAGGAUCCGAGCGUUCUCCGGAUUUAUUUGGUUUAAAGGGAGCGUAGGGGGAUUGUUAAGUCAGUUGUGAAAGUUUGCGGCUAAACCUGAAAAUUGCAGUUGAAACUGGCAGUCUUGAGUACAGUAGAGGUGGGCGGAAUGCGUGGUGUAGCGGGGAAAUGCUUAGAUAUCACGAAGAACUCCGAUUGCGAAGGCAGCUCACUGGACUGCAACUGACACUGAGGCUCGAAAGUGUGGGUAUCAAACAGGAUUAGAUACCCGGGUAGUC
This 460-nucleotide ribosomal RNA is filed under the name uncultured bacterium. Its description in RNAcentral is "partial 16S ribosomal RNA". It matches the Rfam family "Bacterial small subunit ribosomal RNA", at positions 338 to 795 of the family's 1533-position model. The record is from RNAcentral.